Molecule: ribosomal RNA, 666 nt
Filed under: Debaryomyces hansenii
Lineage: Eukaryota; Fungi; Ascomycota; Pichiomycetes; Serinales; Debaryomycetaceae
Description: partial large subunit ribosomal RNA
Rfam family: Eukaryotic large subunit ribosomal RNA (bases 1-584)
Source: RNAcentral
CCGCGGAGGUAUAGCGUUACAACGGCGAGUGAAGCGGCAAAAGCUCAAAUUUGAAAUCUGGCACCUUCGGUGUCCGAGUUGUAAUUUGAAGAAGGUAACUUUGGAGUUGGCUCUUGUCUAUGUUCCUUGGAACAGGACGUCACAGAGGGUGAGAAUCCCGUGCGAUGAGAUGCCCAAUUCUAUGUAAAGUGCUUUCGAAGAGUCGAGUUGUUUGGGAAUGCAGCUCUAAGUGGGUGGUAAAUUCCAUCUAAAGCUAAAUAUUGGCGAGAGACCGAUAGCGAACAAGUACAGUGAUGGAAAGAUGAAAAGAACUUUGAAAAGAGAGUGAAAAAGUACGUGAAAUUGUUGAAAGGGAAGGGCUUGAGAUCAGACUUGGUAUUUUGCGAUCCUUUCCUUCUUGGUUGGGUUCCUCGCAGCUUACUGGGCCAGCAUCGGUUUGGAUGGUAGGAUAAUGACUAAGGAAUGUGGCUCUACUUCGGUGGAGUGUUAUAGCCUUGGUUGAUACUGCCUGUCUAGACCGAGGACUGCGUCUUUUGACUAGGAUGUUGGCAUCAUGAUCUUAAGCCACCCCUCUUGAACAACGGACCAAAAAAAAAUUACCAUUUUUUUUUUUGUUUGUGUGCCGUUGUGUUUUGGUUUUGUGUUGGGGUGUUUCGUUUUUUUUUG